Salvia hispanica is the source of this 303-nucleotide long non-coding RNA. RefSeq lists it as uncharacterized. Lineage: Eukaryota; Viridiplantae; Streptophyta; Magnoliopsida; Lamiales; Lamiaceae. The record is from RefSeq and is a predicted model, not a curated record.
ACAAUGGAUUCAAGAUGGUGAAAAGGUUCGGCAGGGGCGUCAUGAGAGUACAUAUAUCGCAAUUUCAGCUCAAUCGAGGCCCGGUGAUUCAUGUGUUCUCAGGUCGCCCCUGUGGGAUUUUCUUUCACCGGUCAAGAUAGAGUUUUUUAAAAGUUUAUUCUUAUGAAUUGUGCGUGUGAAUGCAAGGACGAUGAGUCUUCACUGAUUUUAUAUUCUGUAGUUAAUCUCAGUGAUUAAAUUUGUAAAUUGAGUGGUUUACUAUCUGGCAAAACAUUUGGUAUUACUAGUACUACUUUUCGUAUU